Molecule: long non-coding RNA, 643 nt
Filed under: Phaseolus vulgaris (common bean)
Lineage: Eukaryota; Viridiplantae; Streptophyta; Magnoliopsida; Fabales; Fabaceae
Description: long non-coding RNA (PVUL_LNC002506)
Source: RNAcentral
UUGUUUCUCAUGUUUUUUUCGUUGCUUGCUGCUCUCGCUAUUUGAAAUUUAUGCUACCAAUCACUUUUAUAAUUCAAACUUUUCGUGGUUAAGUCAUGUCUCUCUUUUUUAUUUAUUUCAUUUUGAAUCCUAGCCUCUACACUCACAAGUUAAAAUCUUAGCUACUAUCAUGAGACACAUUUAUAGGUUGGUGGGUGGUUUGGCAUUUCAAGAAAGGUGGCAUCUUUGGUGUGCUUUGAUUCCUUGGCCUAUGUUUCACCAUUAUAUUGUGGUUUAAUCUAAAGGGCAAUUCUUUUGUCUCAAUGAAAUACCAAGUUCAUAUGCAUGACAAAUGCUUGUUUAAAUGUCUAAAUGGUUAGUCUCAGACUCAAUUCUUUCUGUUUUGUUAAAACUUUUAACCGUGCUUCACAACCGUAUCUCAAAGCUCCGUGUUGUUGUUAUUGUCUUUUAGGGAUACUUCAUCAUAUAUGAUAUGUUUAUAUGCUUUGUUUUUGUUUUGUGUGAAAUCACAACAGUUUUCAGUUUUACAUUCCGAGAUCUUGUGAUAUUGUGUUGCGCAGUCUAUUUCCAAUUGCCAUCACUGCCCUCAUACACUGAGGCACACCUUAUGUGAAGCUUAGCUUGCUGAGUGUUUACAGAAAAG